CGGAUCCAUCAAUAUUGCUUGAGGAUGCAACCAUUGGAAUCCAGCAAUGAAUUUCUCAGUCGGUCAGAAUUAUUAGGUCUAUUUCAGUCACUUUUAAAUUGAGUGUGAGAAGGAGACAACGGGAGAUUUGUCGUGUGUAAAGUGUUCGGCUCAUCGGAAUCGCUUGUCUCCUUUCGGAUUUGGCUCUGGAAUUAAAGGUUUUUAUUUACUUUUGUUGUAUUGUCGCACUCUUGUUUUAGAUGGGUUAUCAGAUUGCUUAUUUUUAAGGAUGGCUUCGUAAUGGGUGUUCUAUUUGCUCUUUGUUUGAUCGAGUGGUUCUUCGUCUCUGAAUAAUGUGGAACACGCUUUGAUUAUGCUUGUGAACAAAAAAAUUCUGUUUCAUAAUUUUCCUAGCAGAGUCGCGUACACAGGAUCUUGUUGCAAUUUGUUUUUUGUUAUGAAUGAAGGUUCCCCCCCCCCUCCACACGUGUGAAUUUUAGGAAUGUGUAUCUUUAGAGUACUAUUAAACGUGACGAAAUUUUCGCUGAUGGACAACGGUAACUUUUGGCGAAGGUUUCCAGUUGCCCUGGGGUACUUCCGUUUUGCCUUUGCCCUCUAGGGGGCACUAAUAUAUAUAUAUAUAUAUACAUAGAAAUAUUGAAUAUCAAUUAGAAUCUCUGUCAAGCAGAUGUUUCUCUAUUUAUAAACACUGAAAGCGUUCUAAAUAAAGUACCAUAGUGAAUUUCUAGUCAAGCAGUUAGUCCCAUAUUAUUCUUGUAGUGUCCUAAAAAAAACUUUUGAUUACCACAAUGUAGCAGCAAAUACUCAUCUACAAACUUAUAUUCGUGAGCGAAGUAAAUAUCUUAAGAUGUACAAUUUUUAUUCUAUUCAUAUAUAACUUUUUAUUUCAUUUUUCUAAGAAAAAAUCUUCAAGAUGUUUUAAAUAGAUAUACUAGUUAGUUAAUUUUGAGUUUGUUGUAUCAAUUCUUAAACCAUCUUACUAUUGCUAUCAAUUUUUAAUUUUAUGUAAGAAAAGUGAUUUCCAUGUCAAAAAAACAGCUGGUGUGGUUCUUGCAUUUUAUAGCAAAGAAUCGACGCUGGGGAGAGUUGGACAGGUUUUUGCUGCGACGAGCUGCUCAAGCCAAUUAGGGCUUGGAAGUAGCAUCAUCCGAUGGAUGAAUGGUGUUGCGAGAAGCGUUGGAGGGCAAGCAGUGUGGCAACAGAAGCAGCAGCAACAAAGGUUCUUUAGUACCAGAGAAGGAUUUACUGUUAAGACAAGAAUGUGGCACAAUAAAAGUCUUGAAAAUAUUUGAGACCAACCGCAUUAAACAUUUGUUACUCACUAGGGAAAAACUGCACCUUUCGAGCAAAAGACCAGUGAUUGUUGAAAUUCUCCCUUGGUCUUGACUCACACCUACCUAAGCAUGUCAAAAUAGCAAUAAUAUUUCAAAUAAUUUUCAUUGUAACGA
RNAcentral lists this long non-coding RNA (1448 nucleotides) under Physcomitrium patens. RNAcentral describes it as "long non-coding RNA (PPAT_LNC003934)". The record is from RNAcentral. Lineage: Eukaryota; Viridiplantae; Streptophyta; Bryopsida; Funariales; Funariaceae.